RNAcentral lists this long non-coding RNA (578 nucleotides) under Homo sapiens (human). Its description in RNAcentral is "long non-coding RNA NONHSAT040406.2". Lineage: Eukaryota; Metazoa; Chordata; Mammalia; Primates; Hominidae. The record is from RNAcentral.
UACUUGCCCCCUCUCAGGACUGAUGGGAAGCCCCGGGUGCUGCUGAUGUCAGAGUUGUUCUUGUAUUUCCAGGAGAAAGUGAUGGAGUCGGGAAGGAAGUCCUGUGCGAGGCAGCCAACGGCCACGCUGCUCGUAUCCGACGGGGAAUUCUCACAGGAGACGAGGGGGAAAAGGGUUGGGGCGGAUGCACUCCUGAAGAGACGGUGACCAUUGUCCCUUGGCCCCAGAUAUCAAAAGCAUCACACAGGGACACAGUCCCUGUUCUCCCCUCAUUGUGUCUCUGGCACAGUAAUACACGGCCGUGUCCGCGGCGGUCACAGAGCUCAGCUUCAGGGAGAACUGGUUCUUGGACCUGUCUACUGAUAUGGUGACUCGACUCUUGAGGGACGGGUUGUAGUAGGUGCUCCCACUAUGAUAGAUGUACCCAAUCCACUCCAGGCCCUUCCCUGGUGGCUGCCGGAUCCAGCUCCAGGAGUAACCACCACUGCUGAUGGAGCCACCAGAGACAGCGCAGGUGAGGGACAGGGUCUGUGAAGGCUUCACCAGUCCUGAGCCGGACUCCUGCAGCUGCAGCUGGG